GAGACAGCAGUAGCCGCGGUAACACGAAGGGUGCAAGCGUUACUCGGAAUUACUGGGCGUAAAGCGUGCGUAGGUGGUGGUUUAAGUCCGUUGUGAAAGCCCUGGGCUCAACCUGGGAAUUGCAGUGGAUACUGGGUCACUAGAGUGUGGUAGAGGAUAGUGGAAUUUCCGGUGUAGCAGUGAAAUGCGUAGAGAUCGGAAGGAACAUCUGUGGCGAAGGCGACUAUCUGGGCCAACACUGACACUGAGGCACGAAAGCGUGGGGAGCAAACAGGAUUAGAUACCCCGGUAGUCCCUGUCUCUUAUAC
This 308-nucleotide ribosomal RNA is filed under the name uncultured bacterium. RNAcentral describes it as "partial 16S ribosomal RNA". It matches the Rfam family "Bacterial small subunit ribosomal RNA", at positions 505 to 807 of the family's 1533-position model. The record is from RNAcentral.